UGACCAGGGAUCUGUCACUUGGUGGCCCGGAACCAGCAGCACCGUGUGUCCCUGAGUGCUUCUCUGAGAAUUGGGCUGGGAGGGAAGGCAGGAGCAAAGAGCAGCUGGAACCAGAGGCCAGUGGGGAUGAAUUUACACCCCGAGGCUCCUCAGGGCAAGCUGGGCCCUGGGGACAGUCUGGGGGAAAGCUGGAGUCGGAGAGAGACGUGGAGGCCCAGGGACCCAGAAUAUCACUGCUUGAGCACCUGCUGUGUGUCCCGCUUAGACCAGACACUUUCCAUCAGCACUCUCAUUUCAUCCUGCCCUCUGAGGCUGGUGUCUCUGUCCUUAUUUUAUGCACAAGAGGGCCGAGGCUCAGGACACCAGAUGGAUCAAACUUAACCAGCAGCAGCGCUGGGAUUUGAACCCAGGUAGCUGAAGCUGCCAGCUGCUCGCCUGUGGAUCAGGAGGCGUGGCUGAGAAUAAACAGGCACGGAGCACAUCCUUGAGUAUUUCCUUACCCAAUCAACUAAUAUUUAUUUGGAAGCCCACUCCACGCCAGGAACCAGUCUAGAUCUUGGAGAUGCAGUAGUAGAAGAAACAGACCAAGGACCCCCUGGGGGACGACCGUAAUUGAGUAAAUGGAUGAAAUAACUGGACGUUUUGGAUAGCGAUCACAACUAUAAAGAAUUAGAACUGUGAUGACUGAUGUAACAGAGAAGGAGCGGUGCAAGUUGGGGACAGUCUGGCUCCAGAAAGUCAGUCCUGAUGCACGGGCAGUAUCAGCCUGCUCUGUGGCAGGCUCCAUGCUGGGGCACCCACCCACGCAGGUGGAUGGUGCGGACAAUGCUGGGUGCUCCAACAGUCCAGCCACCCCUGCAGAAAGAGAACUUCAGAUUCGCAGGUAUUUUCCAGAAGACUCAGAGCAGAUUUCACUCUGAUUGGUACAGAUUGGGUCACAUGACCUACCCUUAGCCAAUCACUGGCCUGAGGCAGCAGUAUUCCUAUUGCUCACAUCUGUGCAAGGGCCCACUGCUAAAGCUAGGGGUGGGGCAACCUCGGUCCGGGUCAUUUGAACAAAGGGGGAUGUGGCUCUCCAGUAGAACAGUGGUGAGCUGGGAAAGAAGAGGUAGGGGCGCCCUAGAGCACUCAGGAAUACAGCUCUUCCAAGCUCCCCUGUCUUUCUAGUCAUCGCAUAUUGCCUGUUUUAUUCUGUCAUUCCAUUGGCAUAAAGACAUUUCUCUCAUUUAUAAGACAAAUAAACCUCUCUUGACCCCGCCCACUUUUCUACUCAUUCCAGUUGUACGCCUCUCCUCCUCUCUUGACCUUGAUUGGGCUUGUGUCCGCACCUUAAAAAGCUCAUGUCAAGGCAGCUGAUGUCCGCCUCCUCACCAGAUCUGGUGGCAAGCCUCAGUCCUCACCUCGCACCCACCUGAGUGCUCUUGCCUCCUUGCCACUGCCUUUCAGUUUUUCUCCUGCCUCGCUGGCUUCUGUUCUGCCUCUCCUGCUGAUUCUCCCUCUUUCUGUCUUUAAAUGUUGGGAGGCGGGUGAUGGUUGGUCUCAGACACACCCACUAAUCUCUUAGCAGUCUGAACCUCCGCUAAUCAUCUGUUUCUGCUCUCAGCCUGACACUUCAGGUCCAGUCACUCUCUCACCCCAGGGCCUUUGCAUUUGCUCUUCCAUCUGACUUAGACACUCUUUCCCCCAAAUAUCCGUGUGGUUCACUCUUUUCAGUCUAUGUUUACAGUGUUGCCUUUCCUGACCUCCUCACUAUUUAAAGCUAUGACCUCUUUAUUUCUACACUCUACCUUCCCUUCCCUGCUUUUUACCCUCAACUGUUCUGAUCACCAGCUUGCCUACUAUGUAUUUGAUCUAUUGCUUUGGUGUCUGUCUGUCCACUGAAUAUAAGAGCAGAGAUAACCUCUCUCUGUUCACUGCUGACUUCCAGCACUUAGGAGGGAGCUCAGAACAUAAUAGGUUCUCAGUGGUAUUAGUUGAAUGAAUGCACAAGUACCCAAAGUGGUUAUAUUCCCUUUCAAGGAGCUAGAAAUACAAAACUGAGGACUAGAGGCCUGCAAGCAGGCCUCUUUCCAAGAUGGCUGGCCUGGGGAGAGGACAGGCCAGCUGUAGAGACCAGAAACCCAUAAGACCUGGCCAUUGCUGGCAGGCAGGGGAGAGGUGGGAGCAGCACCAAGGCUUGGUGUGCAAGUAGUGGUAUCUGGGUAGCCCUAUUGAAGGGGAAGGGUUUGCUGAACACCUUAUCAUGUGAAUGUUCCUUAGCCUUCACCAUAAACUACAAGGUGGGAAUUAUUAGUCUUUCUACCAUUAAAAAAAAUGGAGGCUUAGAGAGAGAAAGCAACAGAAUGAUCAGACAACCUCUUGGCUUACACAUGCCACCACACUGCUUUAUUUUUUUUACCUUGUCUUGAUUCAAAUAGGUUUAAGGUGACUAUCAAAAUAAUGAAUUAAACUUGUGAAUGUUGACAUUGGAAGAGUAGUUUGUAUUGGAUGACUUAUAAACUCUAGACAAAAUGUUUUUAGAAAUGCAAAGAUUAUUGUUUGAAGGAUAUGGAAAGCAACGAACACUUGGCAGAAACUGGAAGGGUUAUGACCCUUAAUAGAAGGGAACCAUGCUUGGGGACAUCCACAGUUAGAUUUUAUUCCUGUUGAUGGCAUAUCACUGUCCAUGAAAGAAAUAUUCUUAAUGAUUUAUGGAAGUAGGAGACACAGUUUGGGCCUGCUAUUUGGCUGGAAAUUGAGGAGAAAAAUCUCAGAAACAAUGGGCCACAGAGGAAAAUUUCCCAGUUCUGUGUGUAAACACCCUUCAAAUCCUUGAACUUGCAUGUGCAGGCAAGACUUCCAAGAACCCAAAGGGAAAAAUGAUAGCUGAAGAGAUGGAAUUGCUGAGACAAGAUGUGAGAAUCUUCCCAGUGCAAGGAAAACACAAUUUGGAGUCUGACUUCUGCAGUGAAUUACAGUAUUCUAAUAACUCCCCAGAAGGGCUAUGCAUUAGGAAUAAAGACUACGUCUCAUGAUAGAAGGAGUCUUCCUUAGAUCAGCAACAAAUGAAACAAGGAUAAAUGACUAAACAUGUGAAAAAAGAGGAAAAUGGAAUCCAAAGUCAAGAGAAAAAUAAGCUAGUGAAAAAGAUCCACAGAUGACUCAGAUGUUGGAAUUAGCAGUAACUAUAAUGAAUAUGCUAGCCUAUGCAGAUGACUAGCUGAAAAAAAUGGCCAAAGCUUGAAAAAUUUGAAAAAUAAAAUGAAGUGAUAUUGGAUUAUCACCCAAAGUGUAAGAUAAUAUCCAUGAGUCCCUACUGAUAUAAAUAAAUGCCUGGAUAAAAUAAUAAAUUGUGGAGAAGAGGCAAAUCUCUUGGGAAGAAGAAUUCUAAGUAAUUUAUGUAGAUAUUCUACAACCUCAAGGAGGUAGAGCAUAACUCACCACUCCUUAAGUGUGGGCUGCUCAUAGUGAGGUCUCUCCAAAGAGCACAGUAUAGAAAGAAUGGGGAAUGAAUAACAUAACAGUGGAGAAACCUGACAAACACUAUGUCAGCCAGGUGAUGAAGGUCAACAUCAGUAGUUAUAGGUAAUGUUGAUAGUUGUGCUCUUCAUAUGAUAUGAGCAACAUUUACUUUAUGAACUUCCUUCUGCAAACCCAUACCAGCCAAUCCCCAAGCUAAUCAUCAGAAAAACAUUAGGCAAAUUCCAGUAGAAGACUGGAUGCAACAAUAUACUUGACCAGUACUCUUCAGAAUUGUCCAAGUCAUCAAAACUGAAGAAAGCUUGGGAAACUGUCAUAGCCAAGAGGAGCCCAAGGGGACAUGACAGCUAAAUGUCAUGUGGUAUUCUGGAUAGGGUCUUGGAACAGAAAAGGAACAUAAGGCAAAAGGAAGGAACUCUGAAUAAACUAUGGGCUUUAGUUUGUAAUUAGGUGUAACUCUUAGUUCAUUAAUAAUAACAAAUGUACCAGACUAGUGGAAGAUGUUAAUAAUAGAGGAAGCUGUGUGUAUGAAAAAAUAUUGAAGACAAACAGAGCCUCAGUGACCUUUCAGAGGAGAGAAAGCAAAUAUUGGGACUGAACAGCAAAUAUUUGAGUAAACAUUAGAAAAAAAAUUUCUGAAGUUGGUAAUAGACAGUGAUCAUUUAGAUCAGGAAGUUCAGUAAAUCCCGAGUAGGAUACUAACAAAGAUAAUCAUGUCUAGACACAGCAUAGUCAAACUGCUACAAUCCAAAGAUUAAGAAAAGAUUGUAAAGGCAGUCAGAGGAGAGGAGAUACAUAUUAAUAUAGGAGAACAAGAAUGAUAAUGAAACCUGAUUUUAUAUCAGAUAAAUGAAAGCCCCAGGACAAUGUAAUAUCUUUCAAGUUUUGGGAAAAAUCUUUUAACCUAGAAUAUUUAUUAUCCAGCAAAAAGAAAAAAAUUAAUUAAGGUGAAUUAAAGAUAUAUUCAGAUAAAUGAAAGAUGAUAAUAUUGUUGCCAGCAAGUCCACACUAUAAAAUAUUUUAAAUUAAGUUCUUCAGUUUAAAGGGAAGUAUGAAAUUUCAGGUCUACAGGAAAUAAGAAGUACUGGGAAUGGUAAAUAUAAAAAAUAUUUUCUCUUCAAUUCUGUAACAGCUAGUUAAUGGUGUAGAGAACAAAUAAUGAAUAUGUACUGUGGAGUUUACAAAAUA
Mustela putorius furo (domestic ferret) is the source of this 4647-nucleotide long non-coding RNA. Lineage: Eukaryota; Metazoa; Chordata; Mammalia; Carnivora; Mustelidae. The record is from Ensembl.